Molecule: ribosomal RNA, 269 nt
Filed under: uncultured bacterium
Lineage: Bacteria
Description: partial 16S ribosomal RNA
Rfam family: Bacterial small subunit ribosomal RNA
Source: RNAcentral
CCGCCGGCGACCGGCGCACGGGUGAGUAACACGUAUGCAACCUGCCCCUGUCAGGGGGACAACCCGCCGAAAGGCGGGCUAAACCCGCGUACAUGCCACCGGGGCAUCCCGGAGGCAGGAAAGGCUUCGGCCGGACAGGGAUGGGCAUGCGGCGCAUUAGGCAGUAGGCGGGGUAACGGCCCACCUAACCGACGAUGCGUAGGGGUUCUGAGAGGAAGGUCCCCACACUGGUGCUGAGACACGGACCAGACUCCUACGGAAGGCAGCAG